AAAUUCUUAUUAAAGAAGGAAAAAUUCAAGGGGAAGAGGGUGAUUUCACAAAGAAUAUUGUUUUUAAAGAUAUUUUAUUACAUUGACUUAAUGCUAAUGAUGUUACUACAUACAUCUACAUUUAUCUGACCGUCAUACUUCAGUAACAACCAAUGAUUAUAAGGAACAACCCAACGGUUCUCAACAGUCACACAUCUAAUGAGAUUCACAAGCUCAUAAUGUCGUGUUUUCUACUCUACAUAAUAGUCCUUAUUUCUUCACCGUUUGUUUCUUAGUUUCAAAGUUA
This 286-nucleotide long non-coding RNA is filed under the name Lupinus angustifolius (narrow-leaved blue lupine). RNAcentral describes it as "long non-coding RNA (LANG_LNC000488)". The record is from RNAcentral. Lineage: Eukaryota; Viridiplantae; Streptophyta; Magnoliopsida; Fabales; Fabaceae.